This 223-nucleotide ribosomal RNA is filed under the name Talaromyces rubicundus. RNAcentral's name for it is "partial 28S ribosomal RNA". It matches the Rfam family "Eukaryotic large subunit ribosomal RNA", at positions 1 to 218 of the family's 3401-position model. The record is from RNAcentral. Lineage: Eukaryota; Fungi; Ascomycota; Eurotiomycetes; Eurotiales; Trichocomaceae.
GGUUGACCUCGGAUCAGGUAGGAGUUACCCGCUGAACUUAAGCAUAUCAAUAAGCGGAGGAAAAGAAACCAACCGGGAUUGCCUCAGUAACGGCGAGUGAAGCGGCAAGAGCUCAAAUUUGAAAUCUGGCCCCCUCCGGGGUCCGAGUUGUAAUUUGCAGAGGAUGCUUCGGGUGCGGUCCCCGUCUAAGUGCCCUGGAACGGGCCGUCAUAGAGGGUGAGAA